GAAAUGCGAUAAGUAGUGUGAAUUGCAGAAUUCAGUGAAUCAUCGAAUCUUUGAACGCACAUUGCGCCCUUUGGUAUUCCAAAGGGCAUGCCUGUUCGAGCGUCAUUUGUACCCUCAAGCUUUGCUUGGUGUUGGGCGUCUUGUCUCCAGUUCGCUGGAGACUCGCCUUAAAGUAAUUGGCAGCCGGCCUACUGGUUUCGGAGCGCAGCACAAGUCGCGCUCUCUUCCAACCAAGGUCAGCAUCCACAAAGCCUUUUUUCAACUUUUGACCUCGGAUCAGGUAGGGAUACCCGCUGAACUUAAGC
RNAcentral lists this unclassified non-coding RNA (305 nucleotides) under plant metagenome. RNAcentral describes it as "partial contains 5.8S ribosomal RNA, internal transcribed spacer 2, and large subunit ribosomal RNA". The stretch from base 1 to 105 matches the Rfam family "5.8S ribosomal RNA", at positions 50 to 154 of the family's 154-position model. The record is from RNAcentral.